GCAAGAUUCAAUCAGCUGAUAACUAUUUAAAUCACACCCUAUAUUAGGGUUUUGGGUCUCCAAGGGUUUGCGCUUAGAGCCGUCUUCGUUUCACUUUCCUUCUACAGCUAAAGCCGAGCCCUUAGAUCCUCACCUCCACCAACAAUGGCCGUCGGGAAGAACAAGAGGAUUUCGAAGGGAAAGAAAGGAGGCAAGAAGAAGGCAGCGGAUCCAUUUGCAAAGAAGGACUGGUACGAUAUAAAAGCUCCUUCUGUCUUCCAAGUGAAGAAUGUGGGCAAGACUCUUGUUACUCGUACGCAGGGUACUAAGAUUGCUUCUGAAGGACU
Molecule: unclassified non-coding RNA, 326 nt
Filed under: Hevea brasiliensis (rubber tree)
Lineage: Eukaryota; Viridiplantae; Streptophyta; Magnoliopsida; Malpighiales; Euphorbiaceae
Source: RNAcentral